Non-coding RNA from Rattus norvegicus (Norway rat), 70 nucleotides. The record is from Rfam. NCBI's taxonomy places the organism in Eukaryota, Metazoa, Chordata, Mammalia, Rodentia, Muridae.
GGGGAUUUAGCUCAGUGGUAGAGCGCUUGCCUAGCAAAGCGCAAGGCCCUGGGUUCGGUCCCCAGCUCCG